UACGGGGGAUGCAAGCGUUAUCCGGAUUUAUUGGGUUUAAAGGGUGCGUAGGCUGUGAGGUAAGUCAGCGGUGAAAUGCCCCCGCUCAACGGGGUGAAGUGCCAUUGAUACUGCCUUGCUGGAAUGCGGAUGCCGUGGGAGGAAUGUGUGGUGUAGCGGUGAAAUGCAUAGAUAUCUGGAGGAACAUCAGUGGCGAAGGCGGCCACCUGGACCGGUAUUGACGCUGAGGCGCGAAAGCGUGGGGAGCAAACAGG
RNAcentral lists this ribosomal RNA (254 nucleotides) under uncultured Bacteroidales bacterium. RNAcentral describes it as "partial 16S ribosomal RNA". It matches the Rfam family "Bacterial small subunit ribosomal RNA", at positions 524 to 776 of the family's 1533-position model. Lineage: Bacteria; Pseudomonadati; Bacteroidota; Bacteroidia; Bacteroidales. The record is from RNAcentral.